Bombus terrestris (buff-tailed bumblebee) is the source of this 5607-nucleotide long non-coding RNA. RefSeq lists it as uncharacterized. NCBI's taxonomy places the organism in Eukaryota, Metazoa, Arthropoda, Insecta, Hymenoptera, Apidae. The transcript has 2 exons. The record is from RefSeq and is a predicted model, not a curated record.
UAUAGACGGAGGAUAAUCUGCUGCUAGAUAUCCCCAUUUUGUGUCACAGUUGCUUCGAGGGAAUCAGUGUUAUUGCAAAUAGUAUUAAGUGCGCUGCUUUUCUACAACGAUUUAAUUUACGAUGGCUCGCUAUACAUCUAGCGAAAUUGUCGAUAUGCUUGUGGUUUUGAGAGAAUGUGAUGAAUUUCGGAGAAUUAGUUCUAUCACUUCCGAGAUGUUAUUUAGGGAUAGAGUAAAUAAUUGUAUCGACGUCCAAGAACAUCCUUUUGAAUACGAGCGAUAAGAAACAAUUUUUUUAGACGGAGGUAAGUUUUGGACCGCAAUAAAUGACCUUAAAUGGCCUUAGAACACCAAUAUAUCGAAAUGCGGCGAAUUCGCCGCAGAACGGGCUACACGUCUAUUUAAAUAGAAACAUAUUAGUUCCGUAUAAAAGUCACAAAGAUUAUCUUGAAAUCUUAAAAGUACGUCCACCUGGAGAAGAUUUGCGAUCAACGUAAGAUGACCUUCCAGAAAUAGGGAGGCUCAGCUGCGUACGCGCGCGCUCCAAACGAAAAUGCGUCUAUCCGCGCGGAUUUCCAAGAGCAAGAUAGAAGAACGGGCAAAGAACGAAUCAGUUUUCGAUAGAACCACCCGUGCGUGACAGCUGCGAUUCUUUUUUCCGAAUCUUUCUUUUCCUAUUUCUUCCUCUCCCUUUCUCUGUCUGUCUGUCUCUCUCUCUUUCUCUCUCUCGAUCUUUGAAACUUCGUGUUUUGCCCGGCUACAUAAUCCCUUCGAGCAAGAGGAACCGUGAAAGAAGAAAGAAAAACCGAGCGAAUCCAACGAAGAUGAAAUGAGAAACAGAGAAACGAUGAAGGAAAAGCGAUCCAAGUGAAUCAACGAGAGGGAACAGAGUAAGAUGGGAGAAAAAGGGAGAGAGAGAAAGAGAGAGAGAGAGAGGGAGAGAAGAGAGAGAGGAUAAACGUUGAAGAACAAGGACGAGGAAAACAGACGACCCCGCUGUUUGCCUUUUAUUAAACUCUUGUUAAACGCCGCCUUUCUUCGUACACACAAUUGAAUCGGCAAAACAGCGAAGAUAAUGCUUCGACCGAGUUGUACACGGCCGAGGGCCAGGCUCUUCUACGUGGAAGACUUACCGCAAACACCAGCUUCUUGUACACCCUGAAAUGGACACCGUGUAAUCCGGCUUUUUAUACGGCAGUGCCGCAUUGACCGGCUCCUCCAAGGCAUGCACAUCGGCUACUAUUGGCUAAUAAAUACUGUCAUCAUCUGUCUCUCUCUCUCUCUCUCCCCCUCUAUACGUUUCCGUUUGUUCGUGAAAAAGAACCCUGAAAACGAUUCUUCAACGACCGUGAAAAUCGCACGGCCCACCCUCUUCCUGCCGGCAUCGUUCACCUCUAAUGAAAAUAUUUGGAUAUUUCGAGCAAGAUUGGCGUGACCCACGUUUCAAAGCGUGCCAUUGUACGCCGUUGCUUCGAGAAGCCUAUAAGUAAGUACGUUUUUCCAUCGAACACCACUGGAUUGGACACUAUGAGGUAUUUGAUGCUUUCUGUGAUUUUAUCUGCAAGUUAUGAGUAUAACUAUUAUAUUAUAUAUUUGAUGAAUAUUAUUGGAUGUACGCGUCUAUUAUGCGUACUAUUUGUGUAUUUAUAUUUUGUAGGUUUUAUGUUUGAUAUUUCUUGUUUUAUUUUCAUUUAAUCCAUGCAUAUCUACCAUUCUUCCGAAAAGAUGAUUGAACGAUAGGUUCGUUAUAUAAUAUUUUUUUUUUUAUGUGUUUUUCAUGACACCAUAUGUUAUCUGGUAGUCUUUGGAAUUAUGCUCGUGUCAUUGAUAAUUCUCUUCUAUUAUAGUUCUCUUGAUAGUUUUUUCAUUUGAACUGGUCCUUAAACAGUUCACAAUUUCGUCCAAUUCCGAUAGCAUCGUCUCGGUAUGGUUUAUCAAAUCUUUUGAAAUUAUUUAUUAUAAAUAUGAAUAAACGAAUGUAUAAUAAUCAUUGAAUUAAAUUGUUUGCAUUCCUCGUGACUAUAUUCGACAUGUAAUAAAUAUUAUCGUAAUAUCUUAUCUUCUAACAUCUUAUGACAAUAAUUGCUUCAAACGUUUCAUCAAACCUCAGUAAAAUUUAUUAUUCAACAAUAGUAUCCUCAAUUAAUUGGUCCAAUGAAAAAUCUAUAGAUCAUAUCAAUAGAUCAAUUUUUCGAAAUCCGAUUUUUUAUUUAAACCAUUUGAAUCACAGAGUACAAAAUAUUAUGAUAGAAACGUUAUAAUUGUAACUUGAAAUCAAUUGAAAAAAUCAUUGAUUUUAAGAAGCUCAUAUCAAAGGAAAGUUCUAAAGCUCAAAGUAUAUUUUCUCUAUUCUGGUAUCGGCAUGAAUUUCACCAGAUUUCCAAGUGUAUCUAGCCUCCAGUAAUGGCCGAUUUAAUUAUCGUUAUCCGUAACCCCUUCGAUCUAUUCGCAUUUGUCAUGUUCUUCAAAACAGUUUUAAUUGCAGCUCGAUAAGACCGGAAAUCAAAGGUUAUAAACAGCAAAAUACCGACACAAAGUGGCACGAGAUAUCGUGGAAUGAGUGUUGCAAUUCUACGAAUUGCAAUGGGAGUCCGAGUCACGUACAAAGUAAGCGCGUAAUACAUUUAAUAACCCUUGUGCAGUUCGUCAACAAUUUUUCUACCUAUUCUUAUUGCUUUCCUCUUUCAAAUAAACUUUCCAAUUUUAUAGAAAAACCAUCGAUAACAAAUUUCCGUACAUUAAAUUUGUUUUGAAAUUGAAAAAAAGGGAAUACGAUUCAAGAACCGUCGUUGAAUUUAUUAUUAAACGAUACCGGUAACGUCGAUUAUUAUAUUUGUAAGUUCGUUAAAAAAUAAGUUACGGCACAGUCAAUUUCUCGUUACGACUUUUUUCUUUUUUCUUUUUUUUUUUUUUUACAAUUACCACCAUCGACAAAAGAAAGGACGGGAGAGACGGAAGCGUGGAAAUCAAAUGGAAGGAAGAAAGAAAAAAGAGAAUAUAGUUGUGCACAGUUUAUAAACAAUGUUUAUUUUCUGCAAUUUUACUUCUGUUCCAUAUCGUUUCGUUCUUUUUUCUUUCCCUGUUUUAAUUCUCUUUUACAAUCAUAGGAGCAGCCUACAUUUAACGUGAUUGAAAAAUCUUGCGCCAUUGCGAGUGUGAAUGUUGAAUAUGUAUACAGCACAUAUACAUGUACAUAACACACACAUAUAUAUAUACACAUACCUUUUCAUUUCAUUCUUAUCUUAUUUUAUGUAAUGUAUAUCGAGGUAAAAACUAAGUACUCAUAAAAAACGUAGAUCAACAUUUUUUUUCUUUAUUUUUUUCAAUUUUUUUUUUUCUCUCGUUCUGGUGGGAUAUCGUUUAUAAGGGCACAUUAUAGGACUCUCUAUGUGUACAUACAUAUACAUAUGCAUGUGUUCUCUAUACAUAUAUUAUAUAUACACAUACAUUUGACAUACUUUCAAAGAGAUAUGACAUCCGGAUAUCGCUUUCUUCGUUCAACUCGACUCAACAAAAUUCCACAAUAUACCUGCGUGAUUCUCUUCCUUCCCCUUCUUCUUGUCUUCCCUUCUUCUAUUUUUCCUUUCCCUUCUCUCCCUUUCUCGUUUCUAAGCGUUUUACAACUCGCUUUUCGCUCCCUAUUGACUAGUGACACUGAUAAUUGACUAAUAAAUACUGAGCUGCUACGAGAUUAAGGUAUACAAUGGAUUGGAGGAGACAGCUAAGCUUCCUUUACACGAAUCAAGCCAUCGAAGCGCUACUACAUUUUACGUAACUCAAAUUCGUUUUGUAUAGUCUUAAUGUUAUUUACUAGGAGACGAUGGCACGUUGGAUUGACGUAAGGAAAAAGAAGUAAAAGAACACGAGAUAGGAAAAACCGUAUGAAAGAAGAGGCAGAGCGUAAUUAGGAAUAAUCGAACUAAUCGUUGGAAAUUGCAGCGAACUCGUACAGCGACUUAACGUACGUACCGAAGUUUAAUCUGCGAUGACAAAUUUCAAGAUAUAUAUUCUUUUUUUGGCAUCGACAAGAAACAGAAGAACCAAAAGACUCGUAAACAUCUCUAAUUACUUUGACCUGUUUUCACAUUAUUUACACAUAUACAUGUAUGUAUGUAUACGUAUAUGUAUAUAUUUCUAUAUUUCUAUAUGGCAUAAGUAUAAUCGUUGAGAUAGACGUCCGGGAUAAAAACAGGUCAUCAAGUAAUUAGAACCAUUUUCACGUAGUAUCAUUGCUAUUUUGUUUGUCAGCUUGGAAAACCUUUCGUUUCUGUUCCUUUUGCCAUUUGUUUCUUUUUUUACUUGUUUCUGGGGUUUUUUUCUCUGUCAAUAAUCUCAUCUAUCGAAUUUCACGAAUUCUCCUACAUAUAAAAAUAUACAUAUGUAUAUACGUAAUAAAUUCUCGCUUCAUACAACUUUGUUUCUUUUUUUUUUUUUUUUUUUUUUUUGAAGCGAAUCUUCGUGUACGUUUAUAUAGCAUUUUCUGCAUUUUCUGAACUCUAUGCGAUAAAGGGAAUAUAUUAACAGUACAAUAUAUGCGUGUGAAGUUGAACACACGUGAGAUUUAAAUAUACUGCUGGUGGAAGGGAUAUAGUGAAGUCAUAAAGUAACGCUUAAAUAGGGACGCACCAUAGCCAUAUUUUCUGGACGCUCAUUCUAAGAUGGAGCCAUCUUAAAUUCCAGAUUGCAAACAUUAUUUAUAUAUUUGUAUUUAAAAGCUCUGCUUACAAUCGUUCAUUAGACCUACAUGAUUCGUUUAUUAACUCUUGUUGGUUUCUAUUUCAUAAUAAUUAUUGUAUUGAUAAAAAUUAAGCUACAACUACUUACACAGGAAGAACUAGUUCCAACUUGCAAUUUAUCUAUUCUUAAAUCCCUUAGAUCUUCUCAGAUUUCCAUAUUGAUGUUAAAAAUUCGUAUACUUUCAGGCAUGAUGAAUUUUACGAUCUCACCAUAUCUCUUCCACCCACACUACCUAUCGUUUCGACCAUGAAAUUCGAAGGAAAUCCAAUGACGAUAUAUGAAUGCAAACACGUGAAGGUACAGGAAUUUAGAACUUCAUCUACAAUCUCUUAAAAACGUUUCAACGCCAUGAUCAUUUCCCUGCUUGGCAUCGAUAGCGACACAACUCUAAAAUUGUACAUUUUAAAGUAUAUUUUCAAAUCAUUUCAAUGACAUUGUAAAGCUGACUUAACGCAAGAUACGUCAGUAUUCACGAAAGCGGUACAACCUUCCGCUUGUAGCGUCAUGAAACAACUGAAAAUAGGCUAGUGUUGUAAAACUAAGGGUUAGGUUGAUAGCAACAUACAUAAGUAACGAUUUUGUCCUCUGACACAAAACUGAAUUAUAGAAUUACAAAUCUACCAUUUUUUAUGAUAAAGCUAGAAACCUAAUGCAGACCUUUUAUUCAAUAAAAGAAAUUCUGAAACUUCUUGAGUUGUGUCGCCGUUAGUGUGAAGCAGCGAUUUGUUCCCCUUCGAAUGAAAUAUAAUUAUGACGCGUGCAAAAACUCUCGUUCACUCUUUUGUAUAGAUGGAGUUUGUAGAUGGAAAAUGUAAUACAUUUAACAAAGUCUAGCUACUUAUAAAUCUGUGUUAAUAAAUCUGUUACUCA